UAUGGUAUGUUUUGUUGCAUGGCACAAAGAAGUGCCAUCAGUGCUGGACCUUGGCAAUCUUGCGUUCCUAGGUGAAGGUUGCCCCCCAUUCUGUCUCAGCAUUUGACCCCAUCACCUCGUUUCUAAAACUAGAUCACCUGAUUGCAUCCAACAUUGCUACGGUUUUACUUUGGGUGGGCAUGAUAUUUGGUUAGAGCCGUGGAACUAAGCAGAUUGAUCUCCUUCCAUACAAGGUACACACAUAGUGUUGCCACCUUUUCUUGAAAAAAAAAUACUGGCCUUCCUAUGUUUUUAUGCAUUUUCCCUAUUAAUAAAAUUGGGAUCAAGCUUCAUUUUUAUCGGCCAGACAGGUAAAAUACCGGGCAGGUGGCAACCCUAUACACACAUCAAGUAGAAUAUCAGCACAGGAAAGAAGACAAAUGAGGGUGUUAGAAAAGGAUAGAUAUAUUAAUAAAACUGCUCCCCUUUUGAUUAUGCACCCGAGGCUUCUGCCUACCCCUAGUUCCAGCCCUGAAACCACAGUAAAAUGUGGUAUUUCUGGGUAUUUGGCUAAUAAAGUGAUAGAAAUUCACAGAUCAGUUUUUUUUUGUGAUAUACCAUAUUGCCUUUUGACAGGGAUAAGGUACUGGAGUGAGGGAGGGAGCAGCAGCUGUCCAAACACAGAGCAGGGCUAGGGGACACUGCUGCCUUCCUCCAGGGCUCAGUACUUUGAUCUGACUGAGUAGAGAGACCUCCAGUGUACAGAAUUAACCCUUGAUAGCUGCACGAGCUUGCAGAAAGAGGACUUUAAAAAAUAGCACAUUUAGAAAUGAUUUCUACAUUAAUCAUUUUUAUUCAAAGGUUGGCUCCUUCUUUCAGCAGCCCUAAAACUUUCUUCCGACACAGGCAUAACUUAUUUUCCAGGUUCUUAUACUUUCCUUUUGCAGAUUGAAGAUAUUGUGAAUGUGCAGUUUGCUGCUUCGUGGAGCAAAGUACUUGAUGUACAUGUGCAAGAACACCCUGCAGAUGGCACAUGCACUGCAUCCUGGGAAUUCAGUGUGGUAGAAAAUACAAGAUCUAUGCCGCAACUGAAUUCAGAACCAUUGCUACUAGAUCCACCCUACUGAAAGUCAAAAUUUCCUGAGGCCCCUCUUAGCAUGUAACCUGGCCGUACUUUCCUGUGUUGAUUUCAAUGUUCUUCAUUCAACAAACCAGGUCUGUUUCAUAUGUUAAUGAAUGUAAGCCGAUAUAGUGCUGAGCAACUGAAACUAGGAGCUUUAGCUGCACUGCUACAAGAAUAAUGGCUACGGAAAACAAAAAAGGUGUAAACUUCAGUGAAAUGAAAUAACUGGGACAUGUUCUGAAACCGACACGUGGCAAGCAAAGCACAGAUCAAACAUAAAGAAUAUGGGAGUAGAGGUGGCUUUUAAUUGUAGAGGUUAUAGAAAAUCAAAACUCCUGCAGUAAGGGUGUUUGGUAGUUACCUGCCAUACAGUCCCAUGGAAAAUCUAGCUACAGUUAGCAAUACAAUAAAACAGGACAAACUAAAUAAAACUACAUAUUUUCCAUUGAUUAGACUGUAGACCGGGGCCAGUUCUAACUUUGAAUAAAUGAGGGGCCAGCCAUGUAGAGCAAACUUAUGUAAAAACAGAAAGAGUUACUUUAAAACUAUAGUAAUUUAUACUAAUUUACAUAUCUUAUGUAUCAAUCAAUAACAAAGUAUAGUAAUUACCAGGGAUAGGCAUGUGUGUAGGAUUUAGAUUUAGGGCAAAGUCCACUGACCACUAAUGAAUUCACUGACUUAAGCAAAUUAAUUACUUAAACUAUUAUCAUGAACUACUUAUUAUAGAGUAACAUUGGCUAUUUAUAUUGUCACCAAUUCACUUCAUGUACUGUAGGUGAUAACUCAUAUAGUGAACUGACCAGUUAUUGGCCCCACAGCUAAGGUUCCAGAGUAAAAUCUGGGGAAACAAAAGAACAUGGCCAUUAUUUCUGCUCUUGGGAUUCCAUAUUUACCCCUCCUCUUACCUAUUCCUGAGAUUACCUACCUUAUGUAAUUCUGCACCUUCAUAGUAUUGUGUUCUCUAUUUUGAUUUGUUGUGCUUUCUCUAUAAAACUCUCAUUUCGUUAUAUUUUCUGAAGCAUUCCAUCUACUCAUCCUUCCUUUUCCUCUGCCCAAUUUUCUUUUUACCCCCUUUUCUUAAUCUUCUCCUCUAACUCAGUACACAGUAUAACAACACACAAAGGGCAACUAUACCCCCUCCCUUUCUUACUACUGUAUCUGUUCCUUGUAUUUAUUUAUUCUUUGCUGCCCAUUGCUUUCCUCUACUUUGUUUCUUUGCUUCGUUAUUUUUCUUUUCUUAUUUCCAUCUCUGCCAUCAUUUAGCUGCAGCAAUGCUAUAAUAAUUUAUCUGAUUGGCUUGCAAAGUAACUGAACUAGUGCACCUCAAAUAUUUUUACCCAGUUAAGUAUGUGAAUUUCUGGUUCUUAACAAUGCUGAGCCACAGGAAUGGAAUUUAUGCAAGAGUCUAGACAGCAUAGCAAAGGUUAAAAGUGGCCAAAAACAGCCGGGGGAGAAGACAAAGCAGUGUGCACUUCUCAAGUUACAAUACUGAGUGGAGUGAUGGCACUUGAGGGUUCAUGGUUGAAUCUCUGCAGACUCUACAAUCCCAAUUCUUUUCUCAGCAUUAUAUAUUAAGUACCACCCCAUGAUUAAUGUAUGAUUUUGGGGUAGGUUGAAGAAUGUGUGUAAGCAUACUCCAGUUUAUAUAUGUAGCCAUAUUUAUGAUUGUCUUGACAUGUCUUAUUUAUGUAUUUUCUUGGUGCAAAUAAAGACAUUUAAAAAAAAAAGUACCAAAGAUCAAAAUA
Xenopus laevis (African clawed frog) is the source of this 2847-nucleotide long non-coding RNA. RefSeq lists it as uncharacterized. NCBI's taxonomy places the organism in Eukaryota, Metazoa, Chordata, Amphibia, Anura, Pipidae. The record is from RefSeq and is a predicted model, not a curated record. The transcript is spliced from 2 exons.